AGGGAAGUGGCGCAAUUGGUAGCGCAACGGUCUCCAAAACCGUAGGUUGUGGGUUCGAGUCCCGCCUUCCCUGC
This 74-nucleotide transfer RNA is filed under the name Bifidobacterium pseudolongum. Its description in RNAcentral is "tRNA-Trp". It matches the Rfam family "tRNA". Rfam says of the family: Transfer RNA (tRNA) molecules are approximately 80 nucleotides in length. Their secondary structure includes four short double-helical elements and three loops (D, anti-codon, and T loops). Further hydrogen bonds mediate the characteristic L-shaped molecular structure. tRNAs have two regions of fundamental functional importance: the anti-codon, which is responsible for specific mRNA codon recognition, and the 3' end, to which the tRNAs corresponding amino acid is attached (by aminoacyl-tRNA synthetases). tRNAs cope with the degeneracy of the genetic code in two manners: having more than one tRNA (with a specific anti-codon) for a particular amino acid; and 'wobble' base-pairing, i.e. permitting non-standard base-pairing at the 3rd anti-codon position. The record is from RNAcentral. RNAcentral also lists the same sequence under 3 other names. Lineage: Bacteria; Bacillati; Actinomycetota; Actinomycetes; Bifidobacteriales; Bifidobacteriaceae.